RNAcentral lists this long non-coding RNA (987 nucleotides) under Felis catus (domestic cat). RNAcentral describes it as "lncRNA (ENSFCAG00000047870.1)". The record is from RNAcentral. Lineage: Eukaryota; Metazoa; Chordata; Mammalia; Carnivora; Felidae.
CACGCAGGAAGGACAGGACCACAGGGGCCCGGGCGCGAUUCCCGGAGUGGCCCCCCCCCACUCCCUGCAGGUGAAGUUUCCACGCGUCCCGGGGGGCCCAGCGGCAGCUGUCUGAAGACCCCCCACUCGUGGGAGGCAGUAGACAAAAGGCGAGGUUCCGGGUGGGGGCAGGAGAGGAGGGGAGAACGUUAAGCCAGUAAAAACCUCUUUUACAUGUGCGGCUGUGAAACUUUUAUAUAGAGAUUUCUCAACACAAGACAUGAAUAGUAACCGUGCUUUCUUUUCAGUAACUGCCAAAGCCUCAGCCCCCGUGACGCCCUCUGCAAGCUGGGCGAUCCCCGGGCGCCCCGCCCCGGGCAGGAGGUCCCCGGGGAAGGAGCUCACCCCUCCCUCUCAUCCCACGAAUCAGACGACUUCCUUAGCGGUUCUGGGAGGUCGGCUCACUGUUAAAAGCAAGCAAGCUGUAGUGUCUGCUUCCGUUCCUACACCCGUUGGCAUUUUGAGCCCUCGAUGUCACAGGCUGGCUCUGUGCCCUGGCAGCCCGUCACACAGAGUCCCCAGCCCCGCCCCAUCCAUGGCAAAGGCUCUCCGGAGACAAGGAAUGGUCAGCUCGGCUGAAGGCAGAGCCGGAGGCACAUCCUCUCUCCCUUGCUUCGCCUUAUUUCUAUUCCGCGCAGCCCCCAACUGCAGCAGGGUCGUCUGUGCAGGCCCCUGGGGAGCAGCGGCACUGGGUGCGUGGAGACCCAUCGGCUCCAUGGCUGGUCCUUCCAGAACACACGGCCCUCUCAGCAGACGGGACCCUAAACAGGACCGGUCCAUUAGGAAGACACUGAGGGCUAUAGAGCAGGAGCCUUGAAUGCAUCCACACCUUCCCAUCAGUCUUCCCUACCUCACGCGGCAGACCUGGGCCCGCACAGAGCCCCAGCCCAGCCCCCGCCGUUACCUGGUGAGUUUGCAAAUGGCGGCCGGUCCCCAUGUGCUCUGACC